UGGAGUAGAUUUUUUCUAGUCAACGAUCAAUAUGAAAUUAACAAGAUAAUGUAAAAAAGCAAUUUAAGAGUAACAAAAAGUCAACAAUAAUCCAUCGAAAAAUAUCAAAUAAUUGCAAAGGAGAUCCGGAAGCUUGCUUCCACGGCAAGAUUUGCUGGAGCAACACUUCAACGGUAAUGCUAGAUAUAGCCAGAUCUGUGUGAAUCAAAUGGGUAACAUGUGAAAUCAGUUCAAAGCAGUGGUGACCAUUCAUACCCAAAACAACAAAUAAAAAAAAUAGAGGGGUAAGGGGGAGGGAAAUACGGCGGCGGUGGGGUUGGAGGAUUGCCAGUAUCACCUCCGGCGAGCCAGCGAUAGAGCUGCGAAAAAAUAGGGCGGCUGAACUGGUUUAUUCGGCUAGAUCCCGAUGUUUGUGGGUUGUUGGGUGAUGGAAAAGGGGAGAUCGAGAGGGAGAAGGGAGAUGUGGUGGUGGUGGUCGCCGGCAGAAAGUUCGCGAGUGUAGACAAUGAAAAUGGAAAGGAUAGAAAGAAAGAGAGGUGAAGAAAGAGGCUGCUGAUGGGACA
RNAcentral lists this long non-coding RNA (563 nucleotides) under Capsicum annuum. Its description in RNAcentral is "long non-coding RNA (CANN_LNC013503)". The record is from RNAcentral. Lineage: Eukaryota; Viridiplantae; Streptophyta; Magnoliopsida; Solanales; Solanaceae.